RNAcentral lists this ribosomal RNA (223 nucleotides) under uncultured Actinomycetales bacterium. Its description in RNAcentral is "partial 16S ribosomal RNA". It matches the Rfam family "Bacterial small subunit ribosomal RNA", at positions 199 to 424 of the family's 1533-position model. Lineage: Bacteria; Bacillati; Actinomycetota; Actinomycetes; Actinomycetales. The record is from RNAcentral.
GGGGAAAGAUUUAUUGGUUUUGGAUGGACUCGCGGCCUAUCAGUUUGAUGGUGGGGUAAUGGCCUACCAUGGCGAUGACGGGUAACCGGCCUGAGAGGGUGACCGGUCACACUGGAACUGAGACACGGUCCAGACUCCUACGGGAGGCAGCAGUGGGGAAUAUUGCACAAUGGGCGCAAGCCUGAUGCAGCGACGCCGCGUGAAGGAUGAAUGCCUUCGGGUU